UGUAAACAUCCUACACUCUCAGCUGUGAAUAUAAGGAGGCUGGGAGAAGGGUGUUUACU
This 59-nucleotide microRNA precursor is filed under the name Pelobates cultripes (western spadefoot toad). It matches the Rfam family "mir-30 microRNA precursor family", at positions 9 to 69 of the family's 77-position model. Rfam says of the family: This family consists of the mammalian microRNA (miRNA) precursor mir-30a. Lineage: Eukaryota; Metazoa; Chordata; Amphibia; Anura; Pelobatidae. The record is from RNAcentral.